CAUUUUAGUAUAAACCAGAGUGCUUUUAUCUAAAGUUUUUACUUCUUGAUUUUAAAGUAUGUGAAUAUAGUGUACAACUGGAUGAAAGAAGAGGUCUAUAAUGAUAAAUUAAAAAAUACAUGACUUGGAUGGAGAGUUGUCUCAUUUGCACUCAUACCACAUCUUCUUAUAUCUAUUCACCUGUAAUUAACCUGUAAUUUACCUGUAAAAAAUCGGCGCAAAUGAAAACAAAAAUCGGCGCAAAUGAAAUGCAGAUCGGCGCAAAUGCAAAACGCCGGUUAUAAGUU
Molecule: long non-coding RNA, 287 nt
Filed under: Mytilus galloprovincialis (Mediterranean mussel)
Lineage: Eukaryota; Metazoa; Mollusca; Bivalvia; Mytilida; Mytilidae
Source: RNAcentral